Small nuclear RNA from Chiroxiphia lanceolata (lance-tailed manakin), 107 nucleotides. The record is from RefSeq and is a predicted model, not a curated record. NCBI's taxonomy places the organism in Eukaryota, Metazoa, Chordata, Aves, Passeriformes, Pipridae.
GUACGCACUUUGGCUGCACAUAUACUAAAAUUGGAACAAUACAGAGAAGAUUAGCAUCACUCCCGUGGCAGGAUGACAUGUAAAUUAACUCAAUCUACUAUCUAAUG